GACGAACGCUGGCGGCGUGCUUAACACAUGCAAGUCGAACGGGUCUGCCCUGUUUUUUGCGGGGUGGGUCAGUGGCGAACGGGUGAGUAACACGUGAGUAACCUGCCCCUCACUUCUGGAUAACCGCUUGAAAGGGUGGCUAAUACGGGGUGUUCCGGCUGUGCCGCAUGGUGUGGCUGGGAAAGAUUCACUUUUGUGGUGUUUUGGUGGGGGAUGGGCUCGCGGCCUAUCAGCUUGUUGGUGGGGUGAUGGCCUGCCAAGGCUUUGACGGGUAGCCGGCCUGAGAGGGUGGGCGGUCACACUGGGACUGAGAUACGGCCCAGACUCCUGCGGGAGGCAGCAGUGGGGGGUAUUGCACAAUGGGCGGAAGCCUGAUGCAGCGACGUCGCGUGAGGGAUGGAGGCCUUCGGGUUGUGAACCUCUUUCGCCGGUGAAGAAGGUCCUGCUCUUUGUGGUGGGGUUGACGGUAGCCGGGUUAUGAAGCGCCGGCUAACUACGUG
Molecule: ribosomal RNA, 500 nt
Filed under: uncultured bacterium
Lineage: Bacteria
Description: partial 16S ribosomal RNA
Rfam family: Bacterial small subunit ribosomal RNA
Source: RNAcentral